RNAcentral lists this ribosomal RNA (274 nucleotides) under uncultured bacterium. RNAcentral describes it as "partial 16S ribosomal RNA". It matches the Rfam family "Bacterial small subunit ribosomal RNA", at positions 523 to 796 of the family's 1533-position model. The record is from RNAcentral.
AUACGGAGGGGGUUAGCGUUGUUCGGAAUUACUGGGCGUAAAGCGUACGUAGGCGGACUGGAAAGUUGGGGGUGAAAUCCCGGGGCUCAACCCCGGAACUGCCUCCAAAACUUCCAAUCUAGAGAUCGAGAGAGGUGAGUGGAAUUCCAAGUGUAGAGGUGAAAUUCGUAGAUAGUUGGAGGAACACCAGUGGCGAAGGCGGCUCACUGGCUCGAUACUGACGCUGAGGUACGAAAGCGUGGGGAGCAAACAGAAUUAGAAACCCUAGUAGUCC